GCCCUCUUAGCUCAACUGGCAGAGCAGCUGACUCUUAAUCAGCGGGUUGUAGGUUCGAGUCCUACAGGGGGCA
This 73-nucleotide transfer RNA is filed under the name Gemmataceae bacterium. RNAcentral describes it as "tRNA-Lys". It matches the Rfam family "tRNA". From Rfam's summary of the family: Transfer RNA (tRNA) molecules are approximately 80 nucleotides in length. The record is from RNAcentral. RNAcentral also lists the same sequence under 1 other name. Lineage: Bacteria; Pseudomonadati; Planctomycetota; Planctomycetia; Gemmatales; Gemmataceae.